RNAcentral lists this ribosomal RNA (600 nucleotides) under uncultured bacterium. RNAcentral describes it as "bacterial SSU rRNA". It matches the Rfam family "Bacterial small subunit ribosomal RNA", at positions 8 to 608 of the family's 1533-position model. The record is from RNAcentral.
AGAGUUUGAUCCUGGCUCAGAACGAACGCUGGCGGCGUGCUUAACACAUGCAAGUCGCGUGCGCAGUUCCGUAGCAAUACGGGAUGGGCGCACGGCGCACGGGUGCGUAACACGUGGGCAAUCUGCCCUCCGAUGGGGAAUAACCCCGCGAAAGCGGGGCUAAUACCGCAUAACAUUCCUUGGACUAUGGUUUGAGGACUCAAAGCAGCAAUGCGUCGGAGGAGGAGCCCGCGCCCGAUUAGCUAGUUGGUGAGGUAACGGCUCACCAAGGCAAUGAUCGGUAGCUGGUCUGAGAGGAUGGCCAGCCACACUGGAACUGAGACACGGUCCAGACUCCUACGGGAGGCAGCAGUGGGGAAUCUUGCGCAAUGGGCGAAAGCCUGACGCAGCGACGCCGCGUGGGGGAUGAAGCUUUUCGGAGUGUAAACCCCUUUCGACUGGGACGAAUGCCCGCAAGGGAGUGACGGUACCAGUAGAAGAAGCCCCGGCUAACUACGUGCCAGCAGCCGCGGUAAGACGUAGGGGGCCAGCGUUGUUCGGAAUUACUGGGUGUAAAGGGUUCGUAGGCGGUGUGGCAAGUCGGGAGUGAAAUCUCUGGGC